RNAcentral lists this ribosomal RNA (375 nucleotides) under uncultured organism. RNAcentral's name for it is "partial 16S ribosomal RNA". It matches the Rfam family "Bacterial small subunit ribosomal RNA", at positions 527 to 896 of the family's 1533-position model. The record is from RNAcentral.
GUAGGUGGCAAGCGGUUGUCCGGAAUUAUUGGGGCGUAAAGCGCGCGCAGGCGGUUCUUUAAGUCUGAUGUGAAAGCCCACGGGCUCAACCGUGGAGGGUCAUUGGAAACUGGAGAACUUGAGUACAGAAGAGGAAAGCGGAAUUCCACGUGUAGCGGUGAAAUGCGUAGAGAUGUGGAGGAACACCAGUGGCGAAGGCGGCUUUCUGGUCUGUAACUGACGCUGAGGCGCGAAAGCGUGGGGAGCAAACAGGAUUAGAUACCCUGGUAGUCCACGCCGUAAACGAUGAGUGCUAAGUGUUAGGGGGUUUCCGCCCCUUAGUGCUGCAGCUAACGCAUUAAGCACUCCGCCUGGGGAGUACGGCCGCAAAGGCUG